GACGAACGCUGGCGGCAUGCCUAAUACAUGCAAGUCGAGCGGAAUGAUGAGAGCUUGCUCUCUGAUUUCAGCGGCGGACGGGUGAGUAACACGUGGGCAACCUGCCCUACAGAUGGGGAUAACUCCGGGAAACCGGGGCUAAUACCGAAUAAUCAGUUUGUCCGCAUGGACGAACUCUGAAAGACGGUUUCGGCUGUCACUGUAGGAUGGGCCCGCGGCGCAUUAGCUAGUUGGUGGGGUAAUGGCCUACCAAGGCAACGAUGCGUAGCCGACCUGAGAGGGUGAUCGGCCACACUGGGACUGAGACACGGCCCAGACUCCUACGGGAGGCAGCAGUAGGGAAUCUUCCACAAUGGACGAAAGUCUGAUGGAGCAAUGCCGCGUGAGCGAAGAAGGUUUUCGGAUCGUAAAGCUCUGUUGUAAGGGAAGAACACGUACGGGAGUAACUGUCCGUACCUUGACGGUACCUUAUUA
Molecule: ribosomal RNA, 474 nt
Filed under: uncultured bacterium
Lineage: Bacteria
Description: bacterial SSU rRNA
Rfam family: Bacterial small subunit ribosomal RNA
Source: RNAcentral